UCUUUAGAUUUAAUUUAAGAUCAGGCCUGCCCAUUGAUUUUAUAAUUAAAAGGCUGCGGUAUUUUAACUGUACGAAGGUAGCAUAAUCAUUUGUCUUUUAAUUGAAGGCUAGAAUGAAUGGUUUGAUGAAAAAUAUUCUUUCUUUUUUUAAUUAAUUUGAAUUUGACUUUUUAGUUAAAAGGCUAAAAUUUUUUUAUAGGACGAGAAGACCCUAUAGAAGUUGACUUUAUUAAUUAUUUUUUAUUUUUUGUUUUUAAAAUAUUUUUUAUGAAAUAAAGUUUUGUUGGGGUGACAUUAAAAUUUAUUUAACUUUUAAUUUUUUUUUCAUUAAUUUAUGUUUUAUUGAUCUUGAAUUUUAGAUUAUAAGUUUAACUUACCUUAGGGAUAACAGCGUAAUUUUUUUGGAGAGAUCAUAUC
RNAcentral lists this ribosomal RNA (417 nucleotides) under Limnometra pseudoinsularis. RNAcentral describes it as "partial 16S large subunit ribosomal RNA". Lineage: Eukaryota; Metazoa; Arthropoda; Insecta; Hemiptera; Gerridae. The record is from RNAcentral.